CACGGCAACUUUAGGAGGAAAUGUUCAUUAUAGGACGCGACCUCUGGGAGGGAAACGACCCAGUCCGGUGAAUAAGUACUUUUGAGCGGAUGGAAAAAUAAAGUCUACAUUGAGAUUUGGAGGGCGAGGUCGUUAUCUAGUCCCCGACCGGCAGACAGCCCGUGUCCAUCUUGGUUAAACCAAAGUCUGGAUAGAAAGACGCAAAACCGCCAAAUGUUCUGAUAAAAGUUCGUCCUGGGAAUAAAUUCACCCUUCGAGCUGAUUAAACGUCGGCCCAACCAAGGAACAGCAGCAGCACCCGCGUUCGGACAAGAGGCUCCGCAGGCAGACGGGACAGCGGAUCCACCGCACGAGCAGAGGUUUGUGAACUUGAGCUGGAGACAGAGCAGCUCGUCCGGGCGGUGGUGGGACGGUCGCUGAUGACGGAACCCCCGCUGCAGUGCCGGCGCGCGCCGCGCGGGGGCGCUGGCGGGAGCCGAGCGACCCGCACCCAGGGUUCCAACAAGGUGAGGCGCCACGAAACCCCCCGGCUGCUCGCGUGAAUGCGGGCUUCCCAAAUGAAAACACCACGGCGAAGUCCGAACAAACAGUCAAACAAAAGGCUGGUCAUUAACAAACACACAACCGUCCAGUCAUUUAAUGGUGACACACAUGAAAUAAAAUGACUAACUUAAUCGAACUUCCAUAUUUAAGCUUUGGACACGUGAGGCUUAAGAAGAAGAAGGAGAAGAAGAAGGAGAAGAAGAAGAAGAUGAAGAAGAAGAAGAAGAAGAAAAAGGAGAAGAAGGAGAAGAAGGAGGAGAAGAAGAAGAAGAUGAAGAAGAAGAAGAAGAAGAAGAAGAAAAAGGAGAAGAAGGAGAAGAAGAAGAUGAAGAAGAAGAAGGGGGAGAAGAAGAAGGAGAAGAAUAAGAAGAUGAAGAAGAAGAAGGGGGCGGAGAAGAAGAAGGAGAAGAAGAAGAAGAUGAAGACGAAGAAGAAGAAGGAGGAGGAAAACAUUCAACACAUCCAGUUGCAGAGGGGAAAUCUUCUCGUACAGGUUACGACUAAGCUUCCCUCUGAGCAAAGCCAGCAGGAGACCCUCUGCUCCACAGCCUGCGUGUCUGUCUGAGCCCAUUCAGCCACAGGAUCCAAGCGGCUCCGGGCCCUUUUCACUCCAAGAAUAAUCUGCCAGUUGGUUCUGUGGACCCCGAGUACUCCGGUGGACCUCGGCCUGCCCACCAACUGUCUGCUGUUACCAAAAUGGUGCCUGUGAGCCAAAGGAAGUGGACCCAGCAGAACCCUGCCAGCUGGAUAGAGCAGCAGCCAUGGAGGUAAAAGACUGUGGAGGAAUCCAUCUGGACGAGCGAGACGCUGAGCAACGCUACCUAAUCAACACUUCAACUCAUCCAAGAUGAGACCAAAUCUGUGUUGUGAUUUCAUUUCAUUUUAUGGCCUUGGGUUGUGUAAGCACUUACAUUAAGAGAUUUUCUCCCGCAGAUCAUCUCAGUGUGGAAGAUGGAAGGAAUAAAUUACUUCAAAACGGAUGCUCA
RNAcentral lists this long non-coding RNA (1529 nucleotides) under Betta splendens (Siamese fighting fish). RNAcentral describes it as "lncRNA (ENSBSLG00000016856.1)". The record is from RNAcentral. Lineage: Eukaryota; Metazoa; Chordata; Actinopteri; Anabantiformes; Osphronemidae.